RNAcentral lists this long non-coding RNA (375 nucleotides) under Pectinophora gossypiella (pink bollworm). Its description in RNAcentral is "uncharacterized LOC126374989". The record is from RNAcentral. Lineage: Eukaryota; Metazoa; Arthropoda; Insecta; Lepidoptera; Gelechiidae.
ACCCGACGAUACAAGAUAUUUACUCAGAGAUUCUUUAGCCAACUGACUAUACUCCGCAUUAUUUGGGUCUUGUUCUUGCUGCCCUCCAACUACCUGUCUUUUCUUCCUGGAGUUACUAGGGAUACAAUUCACAGUGAUGUCUUUCUUCUUUAGCCAGGGUUGUUCCCAGAUCUCUGAAUGGCAUGUUAAUGUGUUGGCUGUACUCUGAACUUCGCAGUUGGACGCUGUUGGUUGGCCGUUGCUGUCUACAACACAGUUAGUAGGGGCUACUGUGAAGUCAAUUCGCGUCAUCGAUCCAGCUACUACUUGAGUGGUGACUUUAUUGAUUUUGAUAAUUUUAUGGUACUGAGUUGUACCUGAUGAUACAAGAUAUUU